Mesocricetus auratus (golden hamster) is the source of this 163-nucleotide small nuclear RNA. Its record names the gene U1. It matches the Rfam family "U1 spliceosomal RNA". Rfam says of the family: U1 is a small nuclear RNA (snRNA) component of the spliceosome (involved in pre-mRNA splicing). Its 5' end forms complementary base pairs with the 5' splice junction, thus defining the 5' donor site of an intron. The record is from Ensembl. NCBI's taxonomy places the organism in Eukaryota, Metazoa, Chordata, Mammalia, Rodentia, Cricetidae.
AGACUUACCCGGCAAGGGGGGGGGGUACACACCACAACAAUGAAGGUGGUUUUCCUGCUUUCUGUUGUGCUCGAAGUGUGCUGACCCCUGACAUUUCUCCAAAUUUGGGAAACUUGAAUGUAUUAUUUAUGGUAGUGGGGGACUACAUUCAUGAUUUCUCUUA